RNAcentral lists this ribosomal RNA (433 nucleotides) under uncultured bacterium. RNAcentral describes it as "partial 16S ribosomal RNA". It matches the Rfam family "Bacterial small subunit ribosomal RNA", at positions 29 to 507 of the family's 1533-position model. The record is from RNAcentral.
AGCGAACGCUGGCGGCAGGCCUAACACAUGCAAGUCGAACGGAUCCUUCGGGAUUAGUGGCGGACGGGUGAGUAAACCGUGGGAACGUGCCCUUUGGUUUGGAACAAAUCAGGGAAAAUCGAGCUAAUACCGGAUGUGCUCUUCGGGGGAAAGAUUUAUCGCCAUUGGAGCGGCCUGCGUCUGAUUAGCUAGUUGGUGAGGUAACGGCCCACCACGGCGACGAUCAGUAGCUGGGCUGAGAGGCUGAUCAGCCACACUGGGACUGAGCCACGGCCCAGACUCCUGCGGGAGGCAGCAGUGGGGAAUCUUGCGCAAUGGGCUAAAGCCUGACGCAGCCAUGCCGGUUGAAUGAUUAAGGUCGUAGGAUUGUAAAAUUCUUUCAGCGGGGACGAUAAUGACGGUACCCGCAGAAGAAGCUCCGGCUAACUUCGUG